Molecule: long non-coding RNA, 1165 nt
Organism: Dreissena polymorpha
Lineage: Eukaryota; Metazoa; Mollusca; Bivalvia; Myida; Dreissenidae
Exons: 2
Source: RefSeq, a predicted model, not a curated record
GUCCAGUCAUUACACCCCCUGGACGUUACACCCCUGGUCAUUACACCCACCAAGCCUGGUCAUUACACCCACCAAGCCUGGACAUUACACCCACCAAGAUGAAUCAGCAGGAAAGAGUAUAAGCAGGCUGUAGAACAAGGGCUUGACAUUCCUUUCAAGUGUCUCCCCUGUCUUCUGCAAGAACAAAAUGUUAUUAAUGAUGCAUCACGAGACGACACUCAGGAAAUGGAGCCCAUGGACGUCCAACUACAUGAUGACCUUGAACCUGAGCCUUCACUUGUUGAUCUGAAUGAGUCUCUUGAUGAUGCCAAUCCACGGAGCGUCCCCCAAAAGCACUGGAGGCUGAGUUGGACAUUGACCAGCUGGUUGAUAAUAGUGUUGGCAGACGGCAAAGAAACCAGUAUAGGGAAUGUGACAGGAAGAUUUUUUAUGCCUGGAGAAAGUAUGAGGCCAAAGACUCUUGAGAUUAGUGAGUAGGUUGUACGGUGCGGCUGAAUAUAAAGUAUAGAAAUUGUCUAGAAUUGUGAAAUCUCACUAGUAGGAAGUGUAUAUACUGUUUAAAGUGAAAUGGGAUUUCUUGGCAAUAUUAUUUUAGUUUUGUUAUUUCUGUCUGUAUAUUCCUGAAAAAAAGUAUUAAUGAUUUAGAUGCAUAUUAUUACAUUUUGGUGAAAUAAAAAGAAAUGUAUAAAUUUAAGAUUGUGUUUUGUUUAUUCUUAAUAUUUUUUUUAUUUAUCAUUUUUUGAAAUUUAUUUUCAAAGUUUUUUCUGUCUGAUUAUUCUUGAAAAAAAUAUCAUGAUUUAGAUGCAUAUUAUAACAUUAUGGUAAAAUAAAAAUAAAUGUAUAUGAAUUAAGAUUGUGUUUUGUUUAUUCUAAAUAAUUAUUGUAUUUAUCAUUAUUUUAUUUUGUUUUCAAAGUUUUUUCUGUCUGUAUAUUCUUGAAAAAAUUAUUUAUGAUGUAGAUGCAUAUUAUUACAUUAUGGUGAAAUAAAAAUAAAUGUAUAUGAAUUAAGAUUGUGUUUUGUUUAUUCUAAAUAUUUAUUUUAUUUAUCUUUAUUUUUAUUUCUUGAAGUUUUUUCUGUCUGUAUAUUCUUGAAAAAAAGUAUUUAUUAUUUAGAUGCAUAUUGUUACAGUCAUUAAAUAAUUUGAGCAACCAUUAAUCUCAUCAG